This 84-nucleotide transfer RNA is filed under the name Candidatus Woesearchaeota archaeon. RNAcentral describes it as "tRNA-Leu". It matches the Rfam family "tRNA". Rfam says of the family: Transfer RNA (tRNA) molecules are approximately 80 nucleotides in length. Their secondary structure includes four short double-helical elements and three loops (D, anti-codon, and T loops). Further hydrogen bonds mediate the characteristic L-shaped molecular structure. tRNAs have two regions of fundamental functional importance: the anti-codon, which is responsible for specific mRNA codon recognition, and the 3' end, to which the tRNAs corresponding amino acid is attached (by aminoacyl-tRNA synthetases). tRNAs cope with the degeneracy of the genetic code in two manners: having more than one tRNA (with a specific anti-codon) for a particular amino acid; and 'wobble' base-pairing, i.e. permitting non-standard base-pairing at the 3rd anti-codon position. The record is from RNAcentral. Lineage: Archaea; Nanobdellati; Candidatus Woesearchaeota.
GUGGGGGUAGCAAAGUCUGGUCAAAUGCGAUAGACUCAAGAUCUAUUCCCUUUGGGUUCAAGGGUUCGAAUCCCUUCCCCCACA